This 494-nucleotide ribosomal RNA is filed under the name uncultured bacterium. Its description in RNAcentral is "partial 16S ribosomal RNA". It matches the Rfam family "Bacterial small subunit ribosomal RNA", at positions 28 to 507 of the family's 1533-position model. The record is from RNAcentral.
GACGAACGCUGGCGGCGUGCUUAACACAUGCAAGUCGAACGGUGAAGCGCCUUCCUUUUUGGUGGGUGUGGAUGAGUGGCGAACGGGUGAGUAACACGUGAGUAACCUGCCCCCUUCUUCUGGAUAACCGCAUGAAAGUGUGGCUAAUACGGGAUAUUCUGGGUCUGUCGCAUGAUGGGUCUGGGAAAGAUAUUGUUUCGGUGGGGGAUGGGCUCGCGGCCUAUCAGCUUGUUGGUGGGGUGAUGGCCUACCAAGGCGGUGACGGGUAGCCGGCCUGAGAGGGUGGACGGUCACACUGGGACUGAGACACGGCCCGGUCUCCUACGGGAGGCAGCAGUGGGGAAUAUUGCACAAUGGGCGCAAGCCUGAUGCAGCGACGCCGCGUGAGGGAUGGAGGCCUUCGGGUUGUGAACCUCUUUCGCCAGUGAAGCAGGCCUGCCUCGUUUGUGGGUGGGUUGACGGUAGCUGGAUAAGAAGCGCCGGCUAACUACGUG